RNAcentral lists this ribosomal RNA (1256 nucleotides) under Staphylococcus aureus. Its description in RNAcentral is "bacterial SSU rRNA". It matches the Rfam family "Bacterial small subunit ribosomal RNA", at positions 69 to 1307 of the family's 1533-position model. The record is from RNAcentral. Lineage: Bacteria; Bacillati; Bacillota; Bacilli; Caryophanales; Staphylococcaceae.
ACGGACGAGAAGCUUGCUUCUCUGAUGUUAGCGGCGGACGGGUGAGUAACACGUGGAUAACCUACCUAUAAGACUGGGAUAACUUCGGGAAACCGGAGCUAAUACCGGAUAAUAUUUUGAACCGCAUGGUUCAAAAGUGAAAGACGGUCUUGCUGUCACUUAUAGAUGGAUCCGCGCUGCAUUAGCUAGUUGGUAAGGUAACGGCUUACCAAGGCAACGAUGCAUAGCCGACCUGAGAGGGUGAUCGGCCACACUGGAACUGAGACACGGUCCAGACUCCUACGGGAGGCAGCAGUAGGGAAUCUUCCGCAAUGGGCGAAAGCCUGACGGAGCAACGCCGCGUGAGUGAUGAAGGUCUUCGGAUCGUAAAACUCUGUUAUUAGGGAAGAACAUAUGUGUAAGUAACUGUGCACAUCUUGACGGUACCUAAUCAGAAAGCCACGGCUAACUACGUGCCAGCAGCCGCGGUAAUACGUAGGUGGCAAGCGUUAUCCGGAAUUAUUGGGCGUAAAGCGCGCGUAGGCGGUUUUUUAAGUCUGAUGUGAAAGCCCACGGCUCAACCGUGGAGGGUCAUUGGAAACUGGAAAACUUGAGUGCAGAAGAGGAAAGUGGAAUUCCAUGUGUAGCGGUGAAAUGCGCAGAGAUAUGGAGGAACACCAGUGGCGAAGGCGACUUUCUGGUCUGUAACUGACGCUGAUGUGCGAAAGCGUGGGGAUCAAACAGGAUUAGAUACCCUGGUAGUCCACGCCGUAAACGAUGAGUGCUAAGUGUUAGGGGGUUUCCGCCCCUUAGUGCUGCAGCUAACGCAUUAAGCACUCCGCCUGGGGAGUACGACCGCAAGGUUGAAACUCAAAGGAAUUGACGGGGACCCGCACAAGCGGUGGAGCAUGUGGUUUAAUUCGAAGCAACGCGAAGAACCUUACCAAAUCUUGACAUCCUUUGACAACUCUAGAGAUAGAGCUUUCCCCUUCGGGGGACAAAGUGACAGGUGGUGCAUGGUUGUCGUCAGCUCGUGUCGUGAGAUGUUGGGUUAAGUCCCGCAACGAGCGCAACCCUUAAGCUUAGUUGCCAUCAUUAAGUUGGGCACUCUAAGUUGACUGCCGGUGACAAACCGGAGGAAGGUGGGGAUGACGUCAAAUCAUCAUGCCCCUUAUGAUUUGGGCUACACACGUGCUACAAUGGACAAUACAAAGGGCAGCGAAACCGCGAGGUCAAGCAAAUCCCAUAAAGUUGUUCUCAGUUCGGAUUGUAGUCUG